RNAcentral lists this ribosomal RNA (215 nucleotides) under Salmonella enterica. RNAcentral's name for it is "partial 23S ribosomal RNA". It matches the Rfam family "Bacterial large subunit ribosomal RNA", at positions 1134 to 1347 of the family's 2925-position model. Lineage: Bacteria; Pseudomonadati; Pseudomonadota; Gammaproteobacteria; Enterobacterales; Enterobacteriaceae. RNAcentral also lists the same sequence under 42 other names. The record is from RNAcentral.
GUAAUAGCUCACUGGUCGAGUCGGCCUGCGCGGAAGAUGUAACGGGGCUAAACCAUGCACCGAAGCUGCGGCAGCGACGCUGAUGCGUUGUUGGGUAGGGGAGCGUUCUGUAAGCCUGUGAAGGUGUGUCGUGAGGCAUGCUGGAGGUAUCAGAAGUGCGAAUGCUGACAUAAGUAACGAUAAAGCGGGUGAAAAGCCCGCUCGCCGGAAGACCA